AACCUCCGCAAUGUACGAAAGUGCGACGGGGGGAUCCCAAGUGUUAUGCUUUUUUGUAUAACUUUUCAUUAAUGUAAAAAGCUUUUAGAAUAAGAGCUGGGCAAGACCGGUGCCAGCCGCCGCGGUAACACCGGCAGCUCGAGUGGUAGCUGUUUUUAUUGGGCCUAAAGCGUUCGUAGCCGGUUUGAUAAGUCUUUGGUGAAAGCUUGUAGCUUAACUAUAAGAAUUGCUGGAGAUACUAUCAGACUUGAAGUCGGGAGAGGUUAGAGGUACUACCGGGGUAGGGGUGAAAUCCUAUAAUCCUGGGAGGACCACCUGUGGCGAAGGCGUCUAACUGGAACGAUCUUGACGGUGAGUAACGAAAGCCAGGGGCGCGAACCGGAUUAGAUACCCGGGUAGUCCUGGCCGUAAACGAUGUGGACUUGGUGUUGGGGUGGCUUUGAGCUGCUCCAGUGCCGAGGGAGCUGUAAGUCGCCGCCUGGGAGUACGGUCGCAGACUGAAACUUAAAGGAAUU
RNAcentral lists this ribosomal RNA (515 nucleotides) under uncultured bacterium. Its description in RNAcentral is "bacterial SSU rRNA". It matches the Rfam family "Archaeal small subunit ribosomal RNA", at positions 345 to 866 of the family's 1478-position model. The record is from RNAcentral.